Molecule: ribosomal RNA, 482 nt
Filed under: uncultured bacterium
Lineage: Bacteria
Description: partial 16S ribosomal RNA
Rfam family: Bacterial small subunit ribosomal RNA
Source: RNAcentral
AUUGGACGCUGGCGGCAUGCUUUACACAUGCAAGUCGAACGGUAACAGCACUUCGGUGGCUGACGAGUGGCGAACGGGUGAGUAAUACAUCGGAACGUGCCUAGUAGUGGGGGAUAACUACUCGAAAGAGUAGCUAAUACCGCAUGAGAUCUAAGGAUGAAAGCAGGGGACCUUCGGGCCUUGCGCUACUAGAGCGGCUGAUGGCAGAUUAGGUAGUUGGUGGGAUAAAAGCUUACCAAGCCGACGAUCUGUAGCUGGUCUGAGAGGACGACCAGCCACACUGGGACUGAGACACGGCCCAGACUCCUACGGGAGGCAGCAGUGGGGAAUUUUGGACAAUGGGCGCAAGCCUGAUCCAGCAAUGCCGCGUGCAGGAUGAAGGCCUUCGGGUUGUAAACUGCUUUUGUACGGAACGAAAAGCACUAUUCUAAUACAGGAGGGUCAUGACGGUACCGUAAGAAUAAGCACCGGCUAACUACGUG